RNAcentral lists this unclassified non-coding RNA (1435 nucleotides) under Hevea brasiliensis (rubber tree). The record is from RNAcentral. Lineage: Eukaryota; Viridiplantae; Streptophyta; Magnoliopsida; Malpighiales; Euphorbiaceae.
AUUCAACAGUCUAAAGUUGUUAAAAUUGAAAUUGUCUUAAAUAAUUGAGAUUUGUAGUAAAUUUUGGUUACUUCUGUUAAAAUUUUAGGGGUUUCUAUAAUAAAUAAAGAAAUUAAAAAAAAUGAAAGAAAAGCUGUGAAAUGUUGAAAAUAGUGGUACACGUGACCCUCUUUAUCACUCAGUUCACGCACAAAUCCAUAUAAUAGGUAAAAGGGUACUUUCACUGUUCUUAGGAACAGUGAAAGUGAGCCCUCUUAAGUAAUACAUAAUAAUAAUUAGAUAAGCUUCUCUAUCAUAGUUAAUUUCAGAAAUUCAAAUUUAUAUGAUUUCUUUUACAUGUCAGAAGGCAAUGUCAUGAAUUUUUCUUCUCCUUUUAAUUUUUAUCUUUUUGGCUAUUCUUCCAAUACUUUCUUUUUUUCAUUAGUUAUUCAAAUAAAUAUCUCUAUCUCACCCUCCCCUUCUUCCACCACCAGGAGCAACACCCCCUCCCCCCAAAGGUAAAAAACAGAGGGAAGAAACUAAUCCUUCACAAAAUUUUCUAGUUAAUUCUGAACUUCUAUAUUUACCUUGUGUCCUUAGGAAAAUCAUGAAGCAUGGACAAAUGUCUCUUUUAUGUACAUGAGCUUAAUAAACUCCGCAGGUUUGAAUUAGGUUGGCCCCAAUCCUUUUUUCUUUUAUACUACCAUCCUGCAUGAAAUUUCUUACAAUAAUGUUCCCUCUAUUAGGUGAAGACUAAAAGGAAUUGAGUUGUUAUAUGUAGUUAAUGGAUCUAUUCAUGAUGGCAUUUCUUUUUCUUAAAUUUUAUUUAUUUCUACCCAAAAUUCGAAGCAAGUGCACAAUCUUGCUUUCAUCUGUUCAUAUUGAAUGGAUGCCCCUACUUUGUAUCAACAUAAUAUACUAUGUCUGAUUCUUUGCAGAUCCUUAUUUAAUUAUGUGGUUUAGAUUUUUUUUUCCCUUUACCUGUGUUGACACACAAGAAUCAAUUUCAUUUUGCUCAGCCUUGAAUUUUACUUCAUGAAAUUAUAGUUUCGUUCUAUUAAAAUGUCAAACAUGUGGUUUAAAUUUAUUCGUGUUACGAGUAGAAGCUCAUUGCUUUCUGUUGUCAUGGCGUAUCCUCCAUCCAUUAACUCAACUUCACUUUGUACUCUAAAUGAUUUGCCACAAUUUGAACAAGUUUCCUCUGUUUAGAAUUAAAUACUCGAGUUUCUAACAGAAUUGCUAGUUUUACCACAUGACCUUUUUAUAGAAUGCCUUAUAGACUAUGAACCGUGAAUUACUGGACAGCUACAAAAGAUAAUAGAAGAGCCACUUGCUUGUUGUUCAUAUCCUACAUUUUUUUUUUUUACUACAGAAUGGAAAAAUUACUUGGGACUAGCUUUUGACAUUAACAAUUGAAACACUUGUUUCAAUUUUGGCUGCAUCAGGAUGAAGUUGU